GUUGAUCCUGGCUCCAGGCGAACGCUGCGAGCGUUGCCUAAUUACAUGCAAAUUGAGACGCUGAGAGGGUGGACUUGUUCCGAGCGGAAUGGCAGCGAACGGUGAGUAACGCGUGGGAAAUCUGCCUUUAGCGGGGACAACAUUUGGAAACCGGAUGGCUCAAUACGGAGGGCAUAACAACUUUUAACCAAGUUGUUAAGUUUUGAAGAUGCAAUUGCAUACUCAAAGAUGAUCCCGCGUUGUAUUAGCUAGUUGGUCGAUGUAAAGGCUCGACCAAGGCGGAGUGAUACCAUAGCCGACCUGAGAGUGUGAGCGGCCAGCGAUUGGGACGGACACGGCCCAAAUCCUACGGGACGCAGCAGGUAGGGAAUCUUCGGCAAUGGCGGAAGUCUGACCGAGCACACGCGCCGGCGUGAGUGGAAGAAGGUUUUCGGAUCGUAAAACUCUGUUAGGUAGAGAGGAGACGUUGGUGAGGCGGAAAGGCUCGAGUCAAGUACGGUAGAUACCCGAAAGGGACGGCUAACUAACGUGCCAGCAGCCGCGGAUAGUACGUAGGUCCGAGGCGUUGUCCGGAUUUAUUGGCGUAAAGCGACGCAGGUGGCUUCUUAAGGGUGCUGGUGGUAAAUGCAGUGGCUAACCUUGUAUGCAUUGGAAACUGGUAACUUGAGUGCGGAGGAGAGUGGCAUAUCCAUGUCGUGCGUGAAAUUGCGUGAUAUAGGAGGAACACCGGUGCCGAAAGCGGCUCUGCUGGGCCUGUAACUGGACCUGAGGUCGAAAGGCGUGGGGAGCAAACAGGAUUAGGAUACCUCUGGCUAGUCCGACCGCCGUAAACGAUGGUGCUAAUGUAGGGGAAGCUCUAAGUUACUCUGGUUAUCGACAAGCAACGACAGAUAAGCACUCCGGCCCUGAGGGAGUAGCGCAGGAGGUGACAAACGCUCACAAAGAAUUUGACGGGGCCCGAUAGCAAGCGGUGGCAGCAUGUGGUUUUCAUCGAAGCCACGCGAAGACUCUUACCAGGUAUUGAACUAUCUGCUUUCUAGAGAAGGAAGUUCCUUCGGGACACGGGUGAACAGGUAGUGCACCCAGGAAACAAACAGAGGUUUCGUCAGCUGUUCGUGAGAGUGUUGGUUAAGUCCCGCACGAGCGCAACCCCUAUUGUUUGUUGCCAUCAUUACGUUGGGGCCACUCUAGACGGGUAGACUGCCAGGUGAUAAACCGGAGGAAGGUGGGUUGACGUCAAAUCCUUCCUGCCCCUUAUACCUGGGCUACACCACGUGCCUACCUGGAUGUACAACGAAGGUGCGAGCGUGAAUGGUUUAGUAUCUCUUAGAACCAUUUCAGGUUCGGAGUUGUAGGCUGCAACUCCCUACAUGGAAGUCGAUCGCUAGUAAUCGCCGGAUCAAGGCCAUCGCCGCGCGUGAAUACGUUCCCGGCCUUGACAACGGCCCCAACACGGAGUUGGAGGUACGCCGAGUGAGGGUGCCUACCGGGAAGGGCGCUUCUAGGUCGACGAUGACUGGGGUGAGUCCGUAACAAGGUAGCCGUCGGAAGGGCGCUGGGAUACCUCCUUU
Molecule: ribosomal RNA, 1571 nt
Filed under: Lactococcus lactis
Lineage: Bacteria; Bacillati; Bacillota; Bacilli; Lactobacillales; Streptococcaceae
Description: bacterial SSU rRNA
Rfam family: Bacterial small subunit ribosomal RNA
Source: RNAcentral